Molecule: ribosomal RNA, 492 nt
Filed under: uncultured bacterium
Lineage: Bacteria
Description: partial 16S ribosomal RNA
Rfam family: Bacterial small subunit ribosomal RNA
Source: RNAcentral
AGUGAACGCUGGCGGUAGGCCUAACACAUGCAAGUCGAACGGCAGCACAGUAAGAGCUUGCUCUUACGGGUGGCGAGUGGCGGACAGGUGAGGAAUACAUCGGAAUCUACUUUUUCGUGGGGGAUAACGUAGGGAAACUUACGCUAAUACCGCAUACGACCUACGGGUGAAAUCAGGGGAUCUUCGGACCUUGCGCGAUUGAAUGAGCCGAUGUCGGAUUAGCUAGUUGGCGGGGUAAAGGCCCACCAAGGCGACGAUCCGUAGCUGGUCUGAGAGGAUGAUCAGCCACACUGGAACUGAGACACGGUCCAGACUCCUACGGGAGGCAGCAGUGGGGAAUAGUGGACAAUGGGCGAAAGCCUGAUACAGCCAUACCGCGUGGGUGAAGAAGGCCUUCGGGUUGUAAAGCCCUUUUGUUGGGAAAGAAAAGCAGCAGGUUAAUACCCCGCUGUUCUGACGGUACCCAAAGAAUAAGCACCGGCUAACUUCGUG